Molecule: long non-coding RNA, 225 nt
Filed under: Elaeis guineensis (African oil palm)
Lineage: Eukaryota; Viridiplantae; Streptophyta; Magnoliopsida; Arecales; Arecaceae
Description: long non-coding RNA (EGUI_LNC064309)
Source: RNAcentral
GGUGGAGAAUCCCUUUAAUGACAGGGAUCUGAUAAAGUGACUGGUCGACGGGUGUGUCCUGCCCGAAGUCAUCCAGAGGAUCAUUCGUGCCGAUCCCGAACAGUGGGUUUGGGACUCUCUGAGGUCCUUUCUCGAGGUAAGCAGAUUCACUUUUGUUCCUUCCCCUCGCUUCUUCAUUCAAAUAACUUCUCAGCUUUCAUUCUGACCUUCUGGCCACCCUUGCAG